AUACAGAGGGUGCGAGCGUUAAUCGGAAUUACAGGGCGUAAAGCGCGCGUAGGCGGCUGAUUAAGUCAGAUGUGAAAUCCCAGGGCUCAACCUUGGAACUGCAUCUGAUACUGGUCAGCUAGAGUUUAGGAGAGGGAAGUAGAAUUUCAGGUGUAGCGGUGAAAUGCAUAGAUAUCUGAAGGAAUACCAGUGGCGAAGGCGGCUUCCUGGCCUAAAACUGACGCUGAGGUGCGAAAGCGUGGGUAGCAAACGGGAUUAGAAACCCCAGUAGUCC
This 274-nucleotide ribosomal RNA is filed under the name uncultured bacterium. RNAcentral's name for it is "partial 16S ribosomal RNA". It matches the Rfam family "Bacterial small subunit ribosomal RNA", at positions 523 to 796 of the family's 1533-position model. The record is from RNAcentral.